GCUCGAGUGGCGAACGGGUGAGUAACACGUGAGUAACCUGCCCUUGACUUUGGGAUAACUUCAGGAAACUGGGGCUAAUACCGGAUAGGAGCUCCUGCUGCAUGGUGGGGGUUGGAAAGUUUCGGCGGUUGGGGAUGGACUCGCGGCUUAUCAGCUUGUUGGUGGGGUAGUGGCUUACCAAGGCUUUGACGGGUAGCCGGCCUGAGAGGGUGUACGGCCACAUUGGGACUGAGAUACGGCCCAG
RNAcentral lists this ribosomal RNA (244 nucleotides) under uncultured Actinomycetales bacterium. Its description in RNAcentral is "partial 16S ribosomal RNA". It matches the Rfam family "Bacterial small subunit ribosomal RNA", at positions 89 to 334 of the family's 1533-position model. Lineage: Bacteria; Bacillati; Actinomycetota; Actinomycetes; Actinomycetales. The record is from RNAcentral.